CAAGUCGAGCGAACAGACGAGGAGCUUGCUCCUCUGACGUUAGCGGCGGACGGGUGAGUAACACGUGGAUAACCUACCUAUAAGACUGGGAUAACUUCGGGAAACCGGAGCUAAUACCGGAUAAUAUAUUGAACCGCAUGGUUCAAUAGUGAAAGACGGUUUUGCUGUCACUUAUAGAUGGAUCCGCGCCGCAUUAGCUAGUUGGUAAGGUAACGGCUUACCAAGGCAACGAUGCGUAGCCGACCUGAGAGGGUGAUCGGCCACACUGGAACUGAGACACGGUCCAGACUCCUACGGGAGGCAGCAGUAGGGAAUCUUCCGCAAUGGGCGAAAGCCUGACGGAGCAACGCCGCGUGAGUGAUGAAGGUCUUCGGAUCGUAAAACUCUGUUAUUAGGGAAGAACAAAUGUGUAAGUAACUAUGCACGUCUUGACGGUACCUAA
RNAcentral lists this ribosomal RNA (442 nucleotides) under Psychrobacter urativorans. RNAcentral's name for it is "bacterial SSU rRNA". It matches the Rfam family "Bacterial small subunit ribosomal RNA", at positions 58 to 482 of the family's 1533-position model. The record is from RNAcentral. Lineage: Bacteria; Pseudomonadati; Pseudomonadota; Gammaproteobacteria; Moraxellales; Moraxellaceae.